This 10357-nucleotide long non-coding RNA is filed under the name Solanum tuberosum (potato). Its description in RNAcentral is "long non-coding RNA (STUB_LNC000294)". Lineage: Eukaryota; Viridiplantae; Streptophyta; Magnoliopsida; Solanales; Solanaceae. The record is from RNAcentral.
UAAUGCCCUCAAAGGAAGUAACAUUGAAAUAAUUCUUGAUGUCCCAAAUCAAGAUCUUGAAUCCCUAGCCAAUCCUUCAAAUGCCAAUGGUUGGGUUCAAGAUAAUAUAAGAAAUCAUUUUCCCGAUGUUAAAUUCAAAUAUAUAGCCGUUGGAAAUGAAGUUGAUCCUGGUAGAGAGAGUGGUAAAUAUGCACGAUUUGUUGGUCCAGCAAUGGAAAAUAUUUACAACGCGUUAUCAUCAGCAGGGUUGCAAAAAUCAAAUCAAGGUCUCAACAUCGACAUAUUCAGGGCUCUUAACCAACACCUACCCACCUAGAGAUAGCAUUUUUCGCGAAGAAUAUAAAAGUUUCAUUAAUCCUAUAAUUGGAUUUCUAGCACGACAUAAUCUUCCACUCUUAGCCAAUAUUUACCCUUAUUUUGCCCAUAUUGAUAACACUAACGCCGUUCCUCUUUCUUAUGCACUUUUCAAUCAACAAGGGAGAAAUGAUGCAGGAUAUCAAUAUCUUUUCGAUGCCCUUGUGGAUUCAAUGUAUUUUGCUACGGAGAAACUUGGAGGACAAAAUAUUGAAAUUAUUGUAUCGGAAAGUGGUUGGCCUUCUGAGGGACACCCUUCAGCAACUCUGGAAAACGCGAGGACUUAUUAUACGAAUUUGAUUAAUCACGUGAAAGGAGGGACUGGAACACCAAAGAAACCUGGAAAGACCAUAGAAACUUAUUUAUUCGCCAUGUUUGACGAAAAUAGAAAGGAUGGUAAACCAAGUGAGCAACAUUUUGGACUCUUUUAUCCUGAUAAGGGAGAGGCAAGUGAGAAACAUUUUGGACUCUUUAAUCCUGAUCAGAGGCCAAAAUAUCAACUCAAUUUUAAUUAAUGAUAGCAUAUAUUAUAAUUAAUAUAUAGAUAGUUUAUAUUAUAUAUGAAUAAUAAGGAGAAAUGGUAUGUUUUAUCUUUCAAUAAAUGAUAGUAUAUAUAUUUAAUUAAUAUGUAGUGAGAAAAUGUAUGGCCUCUUGUGUGUUCCUUGAUAUCAAAAAUUAAUAUUAAGUAUUUUUAAUAAGAUAUGUAUUUUAAUUGAAAGGAUGUGUCCUUUCAUUCUUUGGUUAUUUUAAAUCCAAUUUUUGAAGAUUGCAACGUAACUUUUACAGAGUAUCUUUCUCUACAAUAUUCCUCAAAGAAUUCUUUUAUUCUCCAAAAAGGACCAAGUUCAUAUUUUCAAAACUUCAUCGUUGUUUUCACAUAAAUUUUGUGUUCUUGGUAUAUAAUUUUUAACUCUCCGUUUCUAUUAGUCUGUCUGAUUUUGAUUUGAAAUAAAGUGUAAGAAAGUAAAAAAAAAAAUUGAAUUUUAUGAAUUAAAGUAUGUCGAUAUCAGCACAUCCUUUAAUUUUGUGAUCUUAAACAUGUUAUAUGGAAAGUUAAAAUUAAAGAGUUGCCAAAAAAAGAAAAGAAACACCCAACAAGUACCUGACCAUGCCAAGUUUAUGUCGAAUGUCAGAGGCGUAUCAAGGAGGGGGUCACCAGGUUCACGUGAACCCAUGCUCCCCUCCUUAAAUCUUAUGUAGUAGUGUUAUAUUUUUAAAAAAAAAUAUUUAAAUAUAGAUAUGUGAACCCAUAGUUGAAGUACAUACCGUGCGAUUAUGAUUGGGUGCACCUCUCUAAGUGAGGUUAGAAAUUUGAAUAUUUUAUUUAGUCACGUUUUAUUUUCCUUUCUAAAAUUGGAUAACACCUCUCUAAGUGGUUUGGAUAGGUAAAUAUAAUUUUGGACCUAUAAUUUUAAAAUUUUAAUUAUUUUUAGUGAUAAGAACCUAAAUGUUAAACCGAUCAAAUUUAUAUAUUAGAUCCAUCUUUUCGUAAUAGUGCAUCCAUCAUCUCAAAAUCCUGAAUACGCGCUUUCAAUCUUUUAAUUCUUUUUUAAACGAACUAAAAAUAAAAUAAAUUAAUUAAAAUAAGUGAAGUAUAAAUAUAUUUUCUUCACGAUGAUAGUUAUAUUAGACAUGCAAAAUUGCUCAAUUUCACUUAAUAUAAAAUAAUUUGACCUUUUCCUUGUAUUGAAUAGAAUCAGCCAUUAUUCUCGUAUCGUAAAAUACUAAAAUUCAUUGACUCCAUCCCAUUACUAAAUUUGAGCUUUCUACGCAUCUUCAAAAUUUAAGGACGAUGGGUGCACUACUAAAUGUGGAUGUGUGUUAUGUUAAAUAUUGACACCUCGGGUUAGUUUGGUUUUAACUAAAAAAAGUCAACUCGAGAUCAAAUCAACCCGACAUUAUAUAUAUAAUUUUUAAAAUUUAUUUUAUACAUAAAAGUAUAUACUUCGAUGUAAUUUCUAAAUAUUACUUAUAAGUUUUUAUAAUUUUUAUCUUUUAAUAUAUUUUUUCAAGUCUUUUGAGACUUAAAUUUUUUGAAUGGUCCAACAAAUGUUAUAGUCCAUAGAUAUUAGUAACUCUAAUAAAGCUCAAUUCGAAGUCAAAUCAAUACUAUGCUAACAAAAUAAAUUAACUCAACACUAAGAAUUACAAUAAUGUUGAAUAUUUAUUCUUUAGUUUGACAUUGGUUUAGACAUUUAAAAUACAUAAUCUAAUUUUAAUUUUUCUUUAAUGUUUAAUCAUGUAACUAAUACGUAUUAGACUUAUUUUAGCAUGAUUUAGUACUUUUAAAUUAUGAUCAUUUUCAUUAUGACUUUGCAAUAUUUAUUUUAUAUGAUGAUUUCAUUAUUAUUUUUUAUUGAAUAUUUUCAUGUCAUCACUCAUCUCAUAUUUUGUGCUAUUUUCUUAAGAAACACCAUAGAUAGUUGUAUUUUGGUUGGACUAAAGAAAUAUUUGGAGCACAAGUUAAUUAUAUGUUUGUAUGCAUACUUUACCGGAAAAAUUCAAAAACUUGAACAAAUUUGAGGUUUAUUAGUUUGGUUUUAUUUAAAAAUUUAAAAAUUUAAAAAUUCGACACAAUGGUUUUAGUUUGUUAUUUGAAAAACCCAAACCAAUCCGAGGUUGGAAAAUUCAAAAAAAACCCGAAUUUUAUUAGCUUGGUUUGGUUUAUAAAUUUAAAAUAUUUUACACAAAUGACUUGAUUUGAUAUUUAAAAAACCCGAACCAACCCGAUCAUAUAUACCCCUAAUUACGACAAUCACAAAUUCUAUAUAAAAUAACUAUUGGGUUCACAAAAAAAUAAAUUGCUAACAAUUAAAUGAGUAGACUUCACAUGUCCAUUUUCUUUAACAAGAAAAAGUACAAGUUUACCCUUAAACUAUUGAGUAUAGUUUAAAAUCAACCAUUUUUUUCUCAUUUUUUUCCCAUAACCUACUCUAGAUUAGAAAUUUCUUCAUCCCCAUAAGAUACGUUUAUAUGACUAAAUUUCACUAUCAAUUGAACUUCUUCUUAGGGUAAACUUGACUUAGUUUUUUUUUCCACUCUGCUUUUCUUCUUUUUGUCUAUAUAAGAAGUAAUUGGAUGUUUCCUUGACACACAAUUUUACCUCAAAUAUUUCUUAGUCUUCUCAAUUCCAAUUUUGCUAUGUCUUUUCUAAGUUUUCUUGUAGCUGCCCUUUUACUUGUUGGGCUGUUAAUCCAAAUGACAGGUCUCUCUCUCUUACAUACAAACUAAUAAUGUAUUUUUACGCUAUAUAUUAAGAGUAACGUAUUAUAAUAUCGUAGCAGAUAAUCUAUUUUAUUUACUAAUUAAGUUAUUGAUCUCAAUUACUGUAAAUAGUUAAGGGUAUUUAAUCUAGGUGACCUAAUAGUAUAACAAUUCUUCCGAUGUUGGUGUAAAUGAGUUAAAAAUUCUAUUAAAAAGCACUUCAUAUUUUUCAAAAUUAGGAGGGUCCUAUUGGUGAGGACAUAAAGAAUGAUAAAUCUACCUAACUAAGCAAACAUAAUUACGGUAUAUACUUAAUUAAGCGGUAUUUUAGUUUUUUUUUUAUCUAACAUAGUUAUACUUAAAAUUUUAUAACUAAUCACUUCUCUCUUUUCCUCUUUUGCUCGCCACUCUCCUCCCUCUUCCUCUCCUCUCACAUUUUUUUUCGCCCUCUCUCUCUACCUCUCUACAAUUCAUUGCAUGAAUCUUUCUUCUUAUCCUUAUAUGUUUCUUAUAUAUCAAUACAAAACUCAAUUAAGCUUUACCUGAAUUAUUAAUUUUUAUCUACAUGUGCUUCUUGAUCUUCAAUAUUUUCUAUGUGACUGCUAAUUGUUGAUUCAUUUUUAUUGGAUUUAACGCUGGUAUAUCAAAAAUUCUCAUUAUGGGUUCUUGAUUUGUUGUUCUAUGUUUGAAUCUCUUAUUCUUCUUAGAUUGGUACAACCAAUUUUAUAUAUGUAUGAGAAAAAAUGAAACAGUUAUUUUCAAAGUGUAGCUUCUUCGAUUGAUACAACCAAUUAUAUAUAUCAGGAAAAAUGAAACAAUUAUUAUCAACGUGUAUCUUCUUUAAUAGAUUCAUAAUGAUACAUCCAAUUGAUCUACGUAUCAGAAAACAAUAUAAAAAUUGAUAUAGCUAUUAUUUGACUAGAUUUUUGUACAUAUAAAAAAUGAAUACAACUAUUAUACAAAAAUACUGUAUUUAUAUAUUUAUUUUAGGGAUGAUAUUCAAACUUUGUAUCAAUAUUUUUUUCAUUUGUAUAUCACAAUAAAUUGAUACAGAUUAUAUCUGUGUAUUUAUUUUAAGGGUGAUAUAAUAUAUAUAUAUGUCUAUCUAUAUUUCAAUUUCAAAACUAAUAUGUGCAUUUGUGUAGCUAUGUGCAAGAUUGAGAGAGGAGAAAUGACAGCGAGAUUUGGGAAAGAGAGAGAGAAAGAGAGGAGAUUGUGUAUAUGUGUAUCUUAGUUUCAAUUAAGAUAUACAAGUUGUUUCUAAGAUACAACAUGCUUGCCUCUCUCCUCUAUCUCUCUUGAUCUCGCUCGACUCUCUCUUCUAUCUUUCUUUGUCCCGCUCUCCUCUUUCCUCUCUCUAAAAUUGUUGUUAUGAAUUGUGAAUAGAUAAACAAUACUAUUUAUAAUUAUAGUCCAAACUAUAACUAUUUAUCAUUAUAAUGUAGGAGCACAACCUAUUGGAGUAUGCUAUGGAAAAUUUGCAAACAAUUUGCCAUCAGAUCAAGAUGUCAAAAACCUAUACAAUUCUAAUGGCAUUAAAAAGAUGAGAAUUUACUAUCCAGACACAAAUGUCUUCAAUGCUCUCAAAGGAAGUGACAUUGAAAUAAUUCUUGAUGUCCCAAAUCAAGAUCUUGAAGCCCUAGCCAAACCUUCAAGUGCCAAUGGUUGGGUUCAAGAUAAUAUAAUAAGUAAUUUUCCAGAUGUUAAAUUCAAAUAUAUAGCCGUUGGAAAUGAAGUUGAUCCCGGUACAAAUACCGGUCAAUAUACACAAUUUGUUGGUCCAGCAAUGGAAAAUGUUUACAACGCGUUAACAUUAGCAGGAUUGCAUGAUCAAAUUAAGGUCUCAACCGCGACAUAUUCAGGGCUCUUAACAAACACCUACCCACCAAGUGCUAGUAUUUUUCACGAAGAAUACAAAAGCUUCAUUAAUCCCAUAAUCGAAUUUCUAGCACGAAAUAACCUCCCACUCUUAGCCAAUAUUUACCCUUAUUUUGGCUAUAUUUAUAACACUAACGACGUUCCUCUUUCUUAGGCACUUUUCAACGAUCAAGGGACUAAUUCCGCGGGAUAUCAAAAUAUUUUUGAUGCCCUUUUGGAUUCAAUGUAUUUUGCUAUGGAGAAAGUUGGAGGACAAAAUAUUGAGAUCAUUGUAUCGGAAAGUGGUUGGCCUUCUGAGGGACAUCCUGCAGCAACUAUGGAAAAUGCACAGACUUAUUAUACGAAUUUGAUUAAUCAUGUGAAAGGAGGGGCUGGAACACCAAAGAAACCUGGAAGGACCAUAGAAAUUAUUUAUUCGCCAUGUUUGAUGAAAAUGAAAAGAAGGGAGAUGCAAGUGAGCAACAUUUUGGACUCUUUAAUUCUGAUCAGAGGCCAAAAUAUCAACUCAAUUUUAAUUUAUGAUAGCGUAUUAUAAUUAAUAUAUAGAUAUUUUAUAUUAUAUAUGAAUGAUAAGGAGAAAUGGUAUGUUUUUAUCUUUCAAUAAAUGAUAGUAUAUAUAUUUAAUUAAUAUGUAGUGAGAAAAUGUAUGGCCUCUUGUAUGUUCCUUGAUAUCAAAAAUUAAUAUUAAGUAUUUUUAAUAAGAUAUGUAUUUUAAUUGAAAGGAUGUGUCCUUUCAUUCUUUGGUUAUUUUUAAAAUCCAAUUUUUGAAGAUUGCAACGUAACUUUUACAGAGUAUCUUUCUCUACAAUAUUCCUCAAAUAAUUCUUUUAUUCUCCAAAAAGAUCUAGUUAAUAUUUUCAAAAUUUCAUCUUUGUGUUCAUAUAAAUUUUGUGUUCUUGGUAUAUAUUUUCCAACACUCUCCGUUUCAAUUUGUUCUGUCUGAUUUUGAUUUGAUAUGGAGUUUAAGAAAAUAAAGAAAACUUUUGAAUUUUGUGAAUUAAAGGUAUGUAGAUACCAACCUGUCUUUUAAUCUUGUGAUCUUAAACAUGUUAUAUGGAAAGUUAAAAUUAAAGAAUUGCCAAACAAAAAAAAAGAAACACCCAAAAGUACCUUAGCAUGCCAAUUGCCAAGUUUAUGCCUUCAAUCUUUUAAUUCUUUUUUUAAAACGGACUAAAAAUAAAAAUAAAAUAAAUAAAUUGAAACAAGUAGAAUAUAAAUAUAUUUUUUAAGAAUAAUAGUUAUAUUAGACAUGCAAAAUAGCUCAAUUUCACUUAAUAUAAAAUAAUUUGACUUUUUCCUUGUAUUGAAUGGAAUCAGCCAUUAUUCUCAUAUCGUAAAAUUCACUGACUCCAUCACAUUAGUAAAUUUGAACUUUCUACGCAUUUUUCAGGAUUUGAAGGCAAUGGAUGCACUAUUAAAUGUGGAUGUGUGUUAUGUUAAAUAUCGACACCUCAACAUAAAAAAUUAUUAAACAAAUAUAAAAUUGAAUGUAUCAGUUAAUAUAAAUUAAACAAAAAUGUAAUAUCGUUCAAUGGUAAUUUGAUGAUUUCGACCCUCAGUGUAUUUGAAGUUGCUAGUUCGAGUCUGACUUGACUUUCUUAUAUGUCAUUUGAAGCAUAGGCAUUGGACCAGUGCACCAAAUGAGCUUUUAUGUUUAAGAGAGCACAAUUAAAUAUAUGGUCCUUAUUUAGGUAUAUACAUAAGUUUUUCUGAAAUUAAUUUCUGCAAAAGGUCCCCCUCCCUCAAACGUGGGUCUAUCUAUGGUUGAACAUCUUGACAACUCCCUAGAUCCAUCCCUGUUGAUUUAUUUUUCUUCUAGAUUGUCAUCACAAAUUUCUUUCAAGAUAAAUUUUAGAAUUUGUAGUUUAUGAAUGUUAAUUACAACAAUCACAAAUUCUAUAUACAAUAACUAUUACACAAAAAAAUUAAUCUCUUAAAAUUAAAUGAGUAGACUUCACAUGUCCAUUUUCUUUGAGAAGAAAAAGUACAAGUUUACCCUUUAACUAUUGAGUAUAGUUUAAAAUCAACCAUUAAAUGUAAUCAACCAUUUUUUUCUCAUUUUUUUUCCAUCACCUACUUUAGAUUGGAAAUUUCUUCACCCCAUUAGGUACGUUUAUAUGACUUGAUUGUUCUACAUGACUAAAUUUCACUAUUAUUUGAACUUCUUCUUAGGGUAAACUUGACUUAGUCUUUUUUUUCCACACUACCUUUCUUAUUUGUCUAUAUAAGAAAUAAUUUGAUGUUUCCUUAACACACAAUUUCACCUCAAAUAUUUCUUACUCUUCUCAAUUCCAAUUUUGCUAUGUCUUUUCUAAGUUUUCUUAGAGCUUCCCUUUUACUUGUUGGGCUGUUAAUCCAAAUGACAGGUCUCUCUCUCUUACAUACUCACUAAUAAUGUAUUGUUACACUAUAUAUUAACAUAUUAUAAUAUAGUAGCAGAUUAUCUAUCUUAUUUACUAGGCUAUUGAUCUUAGUUACUAUAAAUAUUUAGGGGUAUUUACGUCUAGGUGAUCUGAUAGUAUAAGAAUUCUUUCAAUAUUGAUGUAAAUGAGUUAAAAUUUCUAGUUGAAAAGCAGUUCAUAUUUUUCAAAAUUAGGAGGGUCCUAUUGGUGAGGACAUAAAGGAUGAUAAAUCCACAUAACUAACCAAGCAUAACUAUUCUAUAUACAUGAUCAAGUGAUACUUUAAUUUUUUUUUAUCUAAUCUCUUCUUCCUUUUCAUCUUUUGCUCGCCACUCUCCUCCCUCUCUCUCCCUCCUACUCUCCUCUCACAUUUUUUUCUCGCCCUCUCUCUCUCUCCCUCUCUACAUUUCAUUGCAUGAAUUUUUCUUCUUCUUUCUUAUAUUAAAAUUAAUACAAAACUCCAUUAAGCUUUACCUGAAUUAUUAAUUUUUAUCUACAUGUACUUCUUGAUCUUCAAUAUUUUCUAGGUGGCUGCUAAUUGUUGAUUCAUUUUUAUUGGAUUAAUGCCGGUAUAUCAAAAAUUCCCAUUAUGGGUUCUUGAUUUGUUGUUCAAUAUUUAAAUAUUCUAUUCUUCUUAGAUUGAUACAAUCAAUUGUAUAUAUGUAUCAGGAAAAAUGAUACAGUUAUUAUCAAAGUGUAUCUUCUUUAAAAAUGAAACAAUUGUUAUCAAAGUGUAUCUUCUGUAAUUGAUAGAUAAUGAUACAUCCAAUUGAUCUAGGUAUAAAAAUAAUUUAUAAAAAUUAAUAUACUUGUUAUCUGACUAGAUUUUUGUAAUACAAAAAAAAUCUAAUACAACUAUUACCUGAAAAGUAAUGUAUUUAUAUAUUAUUUUAGGGGUUAAGGGUGAUAUUCAAACAUUAUAUCAAUAUAUUUUUUUCAUUUGUAUAUCACAAUAAAUCAAUACAGAUUGUAUCAUGUAUUUAUUUUAGGGGUGACACAAUAUGUAUAUGUCUAUCUAUAUUUCAAUUCAAAACUAAUAUGUGCAUUUGUGUGUGAGAUUGAGAGAGGAGAAAUGACAGCGAGAUUUGGGGGAGAGAGAGAAAGAGAGAAGAUUGUGUAUAUGUGUAUCUUAGUUUCAAUUAAGAUAUACAAGUGAUUUCUAAGAUACAACAUGCUUGCCUCUCUCUUCUGUCUCUCAUGAACUCGCUCGUCUCUCUCUUCUAUCUCUCUGUAUCCCGCGCUCCUCUUUCCUCUCUCUAAAAUUGUUGUUAUGAAUUGUGAAUAGAUAAACUAUACUAGUUAUAGUUAUAGUCCGAACUAUAACUAUUUGUCAUUAUAAUGUAGGAGCACAACUUAUUGGAGUAUGCUAUGGAAAAAUUGCCAACAAUUUACCAUCAGAUCAAGAUGUCAAAAACCUAUACAAUUCUAAUGGCAUUAAAAGAUGAGAAUUUACUAUCCAGACACAAAUGUCUUCAAUGCUCUCAAAGGAAGUGACAUUGAAAUAAUUCUUGAUGUCCCAAAUCAAGAUCUUGAAGCCCUAGCCAAUCCAUCAAGUGCCAAUAGUUGGGUUCAAGAUAAUAUAAUAAGUAAUUUUCCAGAUGUUAAAUUCAAAUAUAUAGCCGUUGGAAAUGAAAUUGAUCCCGGUACAAAUACCGGUCAAUAUACACAAUUUGUUGGUCCAACAAUGGAAAAUGUUUACAACGCGUUAACAUCAGCAGGAUUGCAAGAUCAAAUUAAGGUCUCAACCGCAACAUAUUUAGGACUAUUAACAAACACCUACCCACCAAGUGAUAGUAUUUUUCACGAAGAAUACAAAAGUUUCAUUAAUCCCAUAAUCGAAUUUCUAGCACGAAAUAACCUCCCACUCUUAGCCAAUAUAUACCCUUAUUUUGGCCAUAUAGAUAACACUAACGACGUUCCUCUUUCUUAUGCACUUUUCAACGAUCAAGGGACUAAUUCUGCGGGAUAUCAAAAUCUUUUUGAUGCCCUUUUGGAUUCAAUGUAUUUUGCUACGGAGAAACUUGGAGGACAAAAUAUUGAGAUCAUUGUAUCGGAAAGUGGUUGGCCUUCUGAGGGACACCCUGCAGCAACUAUGGAAAAUGCACAAACUUAUUAUACGAAUUUGAUUAAUCAUGUGAAAGGAGGGGCUGGAACACCAAAGAAACCUGGAAGUACGAUAGAAACUUAUUUAUUCGCCAUGUUUGAUGAAAAUCAAAAGGAUGGACAACCAAGUGAGCAACAUUUUGGACUUUUUUAUCCUGAUCAGAGGCCAAAGUAUCAACUCAAUUUCAAUUGAUGAUACUAUAUUAUAAUUAAUAUAUAGUGCUAUGAAUAAUAAGGAAAAAUUUGUGUCUUUCUCCUCAGUAAAAUGAUAGCAUAUAUCUUAUAAUUAAUAUGUGUUGACAAAUGUACGGCCUCCUUGUGUUUCCUUGAUAUGAAUAUAUUUAUGUUAUAUAUACUUAGAAAUACAUUUUAAAGAAAUGCAUGCAAAUUAUGAUAACAUCGAUAUGUCUUUAUGU